UUUUUAUUCCAAUUUCGGUCAUAUAUAGAAAAUACAAAGAUUAAUUGUCCAUGGAUUAGUAGAUGCAUGAACUCAUUUACUGACACAAAUGCAUAUCAAUUAACUGUUCCCUUGAUAUUCAUGAGACUAACCAAAGCAAUUCAAAUACAACAUAGUUGAUAGAUCUUUUACUACCUAAUUGCUCAAUCCCUCAUGCCUCGCCCAUAUCUCAUGGCAAUCAAAUGACUGUCUCAAACUGAAAGGUUGCCUAUUUAGUUCUAUUUUUUCUGAGUGGGUGCCAAUAGACCUGCUCCUCACUACAUUUCAAAAUUAAGUACAAUCAAAUGCAUAGGUUUCAUUGAGCAACUCAAGUUUAUAAACCAUUGAGGUCUACACUCACCUAUCUAUAUAUAUACUACCCUCAUCAAUCCUAAGUUCAGCAUUGGAAGCAAUAUUUAUGCCUAUUUAGUUCUUCAUUUACCAAUCAACUAAAUAACAAAGAAAAUUACAACAUCAAUUAAGAUAUGAGAUAUCUCAAUCUUAGGUGCUUGCCUUACCAUAAUCUUCAUACGGAGAGGAGCUGGACCUCUUAAUUCAGUAUUAUUCUUUGUGAUGCUUCUUCAACUCUUCAAGCAGUAUAUCGAACAACAUUAACUGAGCAUGUCUGCUAAAAGAACACAAAUCUUUGUUAGGAUUAGAAAGUAUGAUACUGGAAACUAUUACAGCUUUUAGGGAGCAAGUUGAUGCCUAAGGCAUGUGGAGAAGAUGUGAAUACAAAAACUUCAUCACAAUAAUCUCUCAUUAGAGAUGUUGAAUAAUCGUUUAGAGAAACACAAUAUUUCAUCAGAGUAGAAAAGGAGGUGGGUAUAUGUUAAUUUGUACAUAUAUGGAAAAGAAAGUCGGCAAACUAUGAUUACUUAAUAGCUUUACCUCUUCGACCACUUAUUUUUUAUAGGGUGCUGUCACUGGAUACCCAUGGUGCUAAUUGAGCUAAAUGUGGGUCUGUUCUCAAGGUGAUGGCACUCAAGAGAGAAGUAUAACCGUUUUAGCGGUUACAUGCGAUGAUGAAAUUAUGUUUAUUUUUUAUUUAUUUUUGGUGGCAAUGAUGCAAUUAUGUUACCCAUGAACCUGCCAUCUAAAUAGUAAAUACAGUACUAGUUAAUAGUUAUAUACUUAUAUCAUCCAAUCAUCUAAAUGCUAUGUGAGUUAUAGCUACUUGACAAAAAUAACCAAGUCUUGCCAAGUGUAUAUUGUUCUUUUUUAAUGUUCAAAGGAACCUGCCUCCCCUUCUUCUUUCAUUGAUACUAGUAUAUUGAUAUAUAUUACAACUUCACAGAACUAGUCACCAAUAUCUACCACCAGACAACUGGUUUUGUGAAUUGUGAUGAAAUGACAACAAUGUCAAAGCAGCUAUUGGCAUCUAAACAGUAAGGAAUCUUUCUAGCUUAUAUCUCAAUCAAGCUAUCGUUGAAAAUCUCUGUCUUGGUCAAGCCAUUAAAUAUAAAUGUUAGUACGACUUUUGAAUAAAUAACUGUGAUCUUUACCUGUUUGAAUAAAUGACUCUAAGAGGGAUGUUCAAAGUAACAUUUAAAUGGUUUCGAGUAAAGGGUUUUUAUGUAACAUCUUUUACUAAUUACGUACUGAUUAAUCAAACUUGAUGUGAAAUGGUAAUUCAUGUAUGUGGCUGAGUUGCUCCAUUGUCAAAAUUAAGCAAAAUCAACGGCAAUAAAAACCCUCUCAAGUUCUUUCAAAGAUACUAAUGACCAAAUAGUGGUAAAGGGUGAACAUGUUGGAUGGUGAUUAUCCUUGUUAAGAGCAUCUUCAGUGACAAAGUUAUUUGACACUAUCCACAUUAAUCAAAACUCCAAAUAAUGUGUUUAACUUUAGCAAGUCUUUCUUUAGGUCAACAUGAGACAUGAUUUACAUCUCCUACAGUCCUACAGUAUGGAAAUCUUGCAAUGAACUGACAUGACCACAUAUAGUUUGACUAAACCCUUCACUACUGUCUACAUUAUUGUUUUGUCUAUCUUCGUUGCAACUUCUUCGCGUCAUAUAUAUUUUUGUAAUCAAAAGUUUUCCUCUUCAAACAAUAGUUCUACCAUUUUCAAUUUCAUCAAAUUGUGUGUUUAAUACCUUUAACGUCGUCAAUGGAGAUUGCAGCUGCUGCUGGUGGAGAAGCCACGAAGUGUGCCUUUGCUC
RNAcentral lists this long non-coding RNA (2178 nucleotides) under Aquilegia coerulea. Its description in RNAcentral is "long non-coding RNA (ACOE_LNC000165)". Lineage: Eukaryota; Viridiplantae; Streptophyta; Magnoliopsida; Ranunculales; Ranunculaceae. The record is from RNAcentral.